Molecule: long non-coding RNA, 1277 nt
Filed under: Homo sapiens (human)
Lineage: Eukaryota; Metazoa; Chordata; Mammalia; Primates; Hominidae
Description: HSALNT0401818
Source: RNAcentral
UCUUCAUUUCAAUCCUAAAUGGAGACAGUUUUGCCCUUUGGGCACAGAGACUGAAAGGCCUCCUCCCCUUUGGAAUUCAAAACAGAAAUGAAAAACAUCACUCUAAAAAAGGUCAAGAUUCAGGUUUCAGAGAUUUGCCAGUGCAACUGGGAACCAGACAUCAAAAAAAAAUUAAAAUACUACUUUCAUUUCUGGAACCACUUGACACAUCUGUAAGUGUCUAAAUGUAGCCUGUAUCAUGGACUAACCCACUGAUGAGAUCGUAAAAGUUUUGUGAGCGGAUACAGCCAAACUCUAUCUCCCAGGAUUCAAGGAAAUCCUUUUGUUUUCUAAAGUCAUUUCAAAGAUGCUAUUUAUCAUCCGUUGGGAGAAUGAAUAUUGAAGCAUCAGUGUUUUGCUUUCGGUCAGCUGUACAAGUCUACAAAGAGGAUGCUAAUCAAACUGAUGGGAAUGAAAUUGCCUCAUAACUCUCCAGACGUGAAGAGCAUCUCUGAAGAAAAUUACGUACUUGUCAAAGCAAGGGGGAAUUUAUGUUGGUGUUCCUGAGAUGUGAUUUUAUUCCGUCUAUUUCCUUUGUGCACAUCAGAGCAACAAGAGAGACAAAAAACAACGAGUUUAUGGAUAUUUUUUUCACUCUGGUGCAUUUUUUGCUUCUAUUUUUCCCUUUUGUUUUCUUAUUCCCCCCUCCUUUCAUCUAUGUUUAUUGCCAGUGACAGUAAACUUCCAUACAACAAUGCUGUGAUGAUAGUAGCAAUGAUUUCUACCAGGAUAAGGCAGUUCAAACAAGCACAAAGAUGAUUUCCCCAUGGACAGUUCCAGAAGGUGUGGGUUACAUUUUUGAGUCCUACCCAAAACUGGCCAGGGACGAUUUGGAUACAAAAGUCUUGUUAAUGUUCCUUCCAAGCAGUGGCAUGCUUCCUGAAAUUAAAUUCUUUUCCCUAGAUUGCACAUUAUGGCUUGCACUUCCUGCAUUUUGUUUUCUGAAUUUAGAAGCUGCAGAAUCUUGUUUGCUUGGUAGGUUCACUGUAAAUGAUACAGUAAAAGUAGCAGAAAAUUUGGAGACAGCCACACCUGGGUUCAAAUCCCAGCUCUUUGCCUACCUGGCUGGGGAAGAUGUGCAACUUUUCUAAGCUUUUCUUAUUGGUUCAACAGGACUGCCCACUUCAUGUCACUAUUUUAAGGGUGAGAUGAGAGAGCUUCCAAAAUGAAAAGCUAUGUAGCUCUGCAGUUAGGAGCUGGGAUUCUUGAAUCACCAAGGAGUUUCAAGGUCACCUGGC